AGCUCCAAUAGCGUAUAUUAAAGUUGUUGCAGUUAAAAAGCUCGUAGUUGGAUUUCUGGCCGUGGCGCGUGGUCCGCCUGAUGGCGAGUACUGCGUGGUGCGGUCUUCCUCUCGAAGACGGCUCGUGCUCUUAACUGGGUGUGGGUCGGAUUCGGGACCUUUACUUUGAAAAAAUUAGAGUGUUCAAAGCAGGCAAUCGCUUGAAUACAUUAGCAUGGAAUAAUGGAAUAGGACUUUGGUUCUAUUUUGUUGGUUUCUAGGACUAAAGUAAUGAUUAAUAGGGAUAGUUGGGGGCAUUAGUAUUUAAUUGUCAGAGGUGAAAUUCUUGGAUUUAUGAAAGACUAACUUCUGCGAAAGCAUUUGCCAAGGAUGUUUUCAUUAAUCAAGAACGAAAGUACGC
Molecule: ribosomal RNA, 400 nt
Filed under: phytoplankton environmental sample
Lineage: Eukaryota
Description: partial small subunit ribosomal RNA
Rfam family: Eukaryotic small subunit ribosomal RNA
Source: RNAcentral